Hemiscyllium ocellatum (epaulette shark) is the source of this 3425-nucleotide long non-coding RNA. RefSeq lists it as uncharacterized. The transcript has 6 exons. The record is from RefSeq and is a predicted model, not a curated record. Lineage: Eukaryota; Metazoa; Chordata; Chondrichthyes; Orectolobiformes; Hemiscylliidae.
GAUGUGACAAAGAUGAUUGAAGGCAGACUGUGGACGUUGUCUAUAUGGACAUUGAACAAAGCAGACUGAUCCCAGUGAUUAAUGCCAAAGCCCUGUUGCCUGGGGAGAGGGUGAUGUUUGACUUUCUUGUACAGCUGCAGAUUGUGUGGGGAAGGUGCUCCCACAAUGUGGUUGGGAUAUUAAAUCAGAAUAAUUGAAGUUGGGAUCUAAAAAGCAAGUUUUUACAGUCAAUGGAUUCAUCAGGAUCUGAAUAUCAUUGGCAUUUAACUGUGGAAGAAGAAAGGAUGAGGCUGUCACUGGCUCGGCCAGCAUUUAUUGCUGCGUUUACCCAGAGGGCAGUUAAGAGUCAACCACGUUGCUGUAGGUCUGGAGUCCCAUGCAGACCAGACCAGAUCCCAGUGAUCAGUGCCAAAGCCCCAUUGUGUGUGAAGAAGGUGAUGUUUGAAUUCCUUGUACUACUGCAGUUCGUGUGGUGAAGGUGCUCCCACAAUGUGGUUGGGGUGCUUGAUGGUGAAGAUUUGCAGACUGAAAUCUCAAACUCAUGUGCAGAUUGUGAUUAAGUUAACCAGCAUUUGAAGAACCAAAGAUGGAGAAUAACUUGGCCAAAAUCCUGUACACUCUCCUUCCCAGCAUUGUCGGUCUCUCUGCGCCAAAUGGACUGUGAAUGUUUCAAGACAGCAGCUCACUACCAUCUUCUCAAGGGUAACUAGAGAUGGGGAAUAAAUGCUGGCUGAGCCAGUGAUGCCCAUAUCCUGGAAAUGGUUUCUAUCUCUAGUUGCUGAACCCCAGUUGAUGUUACUGCAGGAUGAUGAGGGAUGCUGAGUGUUUCCUCCAGGAGGCAGCACCAUCACAUUACCCCUGCCUACACCCACACAGUAACACAGCAACAUCACUGGAACAAAAGGCAGUGAAGCCAAAGGAGGACUUAGAUAUAGUUCUUCGAGGUAAAGUCAUGAAAGGGGAUUGGAACACAGCAGGAACAGGAGACUGAGCUGGAUGGUCAGCUGUUUCCCAUUGAAUGGUGGGGCAGGAUUGAAAGGCCGAAUGGCCUCCUACUAUCUCUCCUGUAUGUAUAUAGCCAUGGAGCCCGGCUAGGAAGAAGUAGGCAGGGCAGGGAUUCUCCAGGCGAAUGCACUUCCACACCCGGUUUCAGUGAGGGAUGGUUUGAUGGAUUUUAUUUAACAUUUGUCUUUAACACAAGGUUUGUGAAUUUGGUUUUAAAAUAUUGUAGCUAUUUAUUCCACAAUAAAUAAAACUAAAAGAAAAUAAAUGAAACUAUCUUAAUAUAACAGUUUUUAAAAUUUCAAACGCCCUGUAAAACAAAUCCUGUCUACUCCCGGACACCAUCAGUUUCCAGUUACUCAAGCUCCAGGGAAAUAUUCCCUCCCUGUCUGAACCUUUGGUUUGAUUUAACUGUUUUUCAGUUCUGGUUCUGUGAGCUGUGAAGUGUUCUUUAUUCCCCAUUUCUCUGACCCGGACGUGGUAUCUCUCACAGCUGAUCAACCUUCCCACCAUCAACAUCAUCACCCCCCAUUACCCCAUUUUGGUUCACAUAUAAUCACCAGCAGUAAACCACCCAUGUAUCCAAUUGAAUAUUUAUAAACAACGCCCCUUACAGGCAAAGCAAACCAUUAUAAAAGACAAAGUGGGAAGGGAUCAAAUCAAAGUAGAGUUGGGAGUGAGGAGGCAGCGAUGGAGAUAAAGCACUGUAUCCACUGCGGUACCCAUCUCUAUCUAAAGGCAGCGGGAGAAUUGAUAAAAACUACGUGCUCCUUCUCCAAGGACACCCUGUUGUAUCGCCUUUAUCCUCAAUCAUAGAAUGGAAUCCCGACAGUGUGGAAGGAGAGCAUUGGCCCAUCAAAUCCCACCAACUAUCCAAAGAGCAUCCCAUCUGGAGCACUCCACCCCUGUAACACUGCAUUUCCCAUGGCUGAUCCACAGAGUCUGAACAAUCCUGGACACUGUGGACAAUUUAGCAUGACUGAUCCACCUAACCCACAAAUCUUUGGACUGUGGGAGGAAACCAGAUCACCUGGAGUGGACCCACACUAUCCUGGGGAGAAUGUGCAGACUCCACACAGGCUGUUGACCAAGGCUGGACUCUAACCUUGUACCUGGUGCUGUGAAGCAGCAGUGCUAUAGAGCAAUUUAAAUCAAAACAGAUGACCCCUGCUCAUUGAUGUUUGUGGAGACUCAUUGCCCAGAGAGACAUCCUGAGAUUCAGAAAGAGACAAUAUGAAUUCAGUCAACUCCUGCCGAGUUAAUGUGAUUAACAACAACAUCAAUACUCCAACAGCGUCAUCAGACCUCGUGCCUACUCUAUCAUUUACGAUUUUUAACCCAUGGGAAGUUUGUUACCAGCUUCGAUGACAGCCAUAAUGCUCUGACCACUUUGACAGAGCCAGUGCUUGUCAGUUCUCAUAGUUAUCAAUAGAUUGUAUCUAAACAGGAUGCCCCACAACAGGAAGUGCACUGACACUCAAUGCAUGUAAGGCAAGGUCAUUUUCCUAAAACCACUCGCGUCUGGCAAUACCAUUGAAUGUAUUUUAUACAGGAGUCUUUCAGUCUCAAUUGCCAGUUCCAGUCCAUGAAGCAGCCAGUAACACGCCCCAGUGAAUUGAAUUCUAACAGCAGCAUUGCCCUGGCAGGAGAGAUUGAGGAGAUUGAAACUGUCUUCUCUGGAGUAUCUAAACAUGAAACACUUCAAAUGAACAAAAAUCUUCAAGAGCUCGAGAGAAUGUAUACAGGAAGGAAGUGCUCCUAGGCUGGUGUGCCUGGAAUGAAAUAAACACUAACUACGGUAUCUUUACCCAGCAUCCCCUUUAGCUGCAUAAAUGUUGAAGAUUUAUUUGCUGCUCUCUCCAUCACUCCCAUUUUUCACUGCUGUAAUGUUGAUGACUGUGCAAAUAUAUAAAAUUUAAUUUAAUCCAUCCCAAAGCCUCUCUGUACCUGUGUCUCACUUGUGUUCACCGAGACACUCAUUCAAUCUGACCUCUUCGUAAACCCUGCCCUGAUAUUUCCUUAGAGGGCUCAGAAUUUAUUAUUCACAGAAUUGUUAAGGUGUAAAAGGAGGCUGAUUGGCUGAUCAGCUCUCCAAAGGAUCAGCUCACGGAAAGCUAUUCUUCUCCCUUUACCCCAUAAACCUUUCCAUUCAUCCUCUUCCAGUAACACCGGCGAGUUCACAACUAACCACAGCGAUCAGAUUUAUUUUGUUUGUUCAUGGGAUCAUGGCAUCACUUGCUGGGGCAGCAUUUGUCAUCCAUUCUGACUGCACAAGAGAUGGUUCAGAGUCAACCCCAUUAUUCAGGGUCUGGAUUCACAUGUUGGCUGGACCAGGUCAGGAGUAACACAGUCUCCCAGACCCAAUGACCGGAAGAGUCGGUUUCUGGCCUACUAUCUUAUUUCUGAAAUGAUAAUGAAUAAUG